This is a small nuclear RNA of Mauremys reevesii (Reeves's turtle), 138 nucleotides long. RefSeq annotates it as U4 spliceosomal RNA. The transcript has a single exon. The record is from RefSeq and is a predicted model, not a curated record. NCBI's taxonomy places the organism in Eukaryota, Metazoa, Chordata, Testudines, Geoemydidae.
AGCAUUUAGAAACACCAAUAGCCAAUGAAGUUAAUCUGAGGUGUGAUUAUUGCUAGUUGAAAACUAUCUCCCCAACAAGAUUUGACUUCAGCACAAUCAACCGAAGUAGUGUUAAUUUCUAAGAACCCUUCUUAAAGG